RNAcentral lists this ribosomal RNA (424 nucleotides) under uncultured bacterium. Its description in RNAcentral is "partial 16S ribosomal RNA". It matches the Rfam family "Bacterial small subunit ribosomal RNA", at positions 360 to 776 of the family's 1533-position model. The record is from RNAcentral.
AAUUUUGGUCAAUGGUGGAAACCCUGAUCCAGCAAUCCCGCGUGUAUGAUGAAGGCCUCCGGGUUGUAAAGUACUUUUGGCAGAGAAGAAAAGGUAUCUGCUAAUACGGGAUACUGCUGACGGUUGCUGCAGAAUAAGCACGGGCUAACUACGCCCCAGCAGCCGGGGUAAUAGGUAGGGUGCAAGCGUUAAUCGGAAGUACUGGGCGUAAAGCGUGUGUAGGCGGUUCGGAAAGAAAGAUGGAAAAGACCAGGGCUCAACCUUGGAACUGCAUUUUUAACUGCCGGGCUAGAGUAUGUCAGAGGGGGGUAGGAUUCCACGUGUAGCAGUGAAAUGCGUAGAUAUGUGGAGGAAUACCGAUGGCGAAGGCAGCCCCCUGGGAUAAUACUGACGCUCAGAAACGAAAGCGUGGGGAGCAAACAGG